Molecule: ribosomal RNA, 492 nt
Filed under: uncultured bacterium
Lineage: Bacteria
Description: partial 16S ribosomal RNA
Rfam family: Bacterial small subunit ribosomal RNA
Source: RNAcentral
AGUGAACGCUGGCGGUAGGCCUAACACAUGCGAGUCGAACGGCAGCACAGUAAGAGCUUGCUCUUACGGGUGGCGAGUGGCGGACGGGUGAGGAAUACAUCGGAAUCUACUUUUUCGUGGGGGAUAACGUAGGGAAACUUACGCUAAUACCGCAUACGACCUACGGGUGAAAGCAGGGGAUCUUCGGACCUUGCGCGAUUGAAUGAGCCGAUGUCGGAUUAGCUAGUUGGCGGGGUAAAGGCCCACCAAGGCGACGAUCCGUAGCUGGUCUGAGAGGAUGAUCAGCCACACUGGAACUGAGACACGGUCCAGACUCCUACGGGAGGCAGCAGUGGGGAAUAUUGGACAAUGGGCGCAAGCCUGAUCCAGCCAUACCGCGUGGGUGAAGAAGGCCUUCGGGUUGUAAAGCCCUUUUGUUGGGAAAGAAAAGCGGCAGGUUAAUACCCCGCUGUUCUGACGGUACCCAAAGAAUAAGCACCGGCUAACUUCGUG